GACGAACGCUGGCGGCGUGCUUAACACAUGCAAGUCGAACGGAAAGGCUCUCUUCGGAGAGUGCUCGAGUGGCGAACGGGUGAGUAACACGUGGGUAACCUACCUUUUACUGGGGGACAACCGAGGGAAACUUCGGCUAAUACCGCAUAAUGUGCAGCUUCAUAAGAAGUCGUACCAAAGAUAGCUUCGGCUUUCGGUAAAAGAUGGGCCCGCGGCAGAUUAGCUUGUUGGUGGGGUAACGGCCACCAAGGCUACGAUCUGUAGCUGGUCUGAGAGGACGAUCAGCCACACUGGAACUGAGACACGGUCCAGACUCCUACGGGAGGCAGCAGUGGGGAAUCUUGCGCAAUGGGCGAAAGCCUGACGCAGCAACGCCGCGUGAGGGAAGACGGCCUUA
Molecule: ribosomal RNA, 397 nt
Filed under: uncultured bacterium
Lineage: Bacteria
Description: bacterial SSU rRNA
Rfam family: Bacterial small subunit ribosomal RNA
Source: RNAcentral